This 2166-nucleotide ribosomal RNA is filed under the name Streptococcus infantarius subsp. infantarius. Its description in RNAcentral is "23S ribosomal RNA". It matches the Rfam family "Bacterial large subunit ribosomal RNA", at positions 3 to 2193 of the family's 2925-position model. Lineage: Bacteria; Bacillati; Bacillota; Bacilli; Lactobacillales; Streptococcaceae. The record is from RNAcentral.
UUAAGUUAAUAAGGGCGCACGGUGGAUGCCUUGGCACUAGAAGCCGAUGAAGGACGUGACUAACGACGAAAUGCUUUGGGGAGCUGUAAGUGAGCAAUGAUCCAGAGAUGUCCGAAUGGGGGAACCCGGCAUGUAAUGCAUGUCACUCAUUACUGUUAAGGUAAUGAAGAGGAAGACGCAGUGAACUGAAACAUCUAAGUAGCUGCAGGAAGAGAAAGCAAACGCGAUUGCCUUAGUAGCGGCGAGCGAAAUGGCAAGAGGGCAAACCGAUGUGUUUACACAUCGGGGUUGUAGGACUGCGACGUGGGACGACAAGAUUAUAGAAGAAUUACCUGGGAAGGUAAGCCAAAGAGAGUAACAGCCUCGUAUUCGAAAUAGUCUUUAACCCUAGCAGUAUCCUGAGUACGGCGAGACACGAGAAAUCUCGUCGGAAUCUGGGAGGACCAUCUCCUAACCCUAAAUACUCUCUAGUGACCGAUAGUGAACCAGUACCGUGAGGGAAAGGUGAAAAGCACCCCGGGAGGGGAGUGAAAUAGAACCUGAAACCGUGUGCCUACAACAAGUUCGAGCCCGUUAAUGGGUGAGAGCGUGCCUUUUGUAGAAUGAACCGGCGAGUUACGAUAUGAUGCGAGGUUAAGUUGAAGAGACGGAGCCGUAGGGAAACCGAGUCUUAAUAGGGCGCAUUAGUAUCAUGUCGUAGACCCGAAACCAUGUGACCUACCCAUGAGCAGGGUGAAGGUGAGGUAAAACUCACUGGAGGCCCGAACCAGGGCACGUUGAAAAGUGCUUGGAUGACUUGUGGGUAGCGGAGAAAUUCCAAACGAACUUGGAGAUAGCUGGUUCUCUCCGAAAUAGCUUUAGGGCUAGCGUCGAUGUUAAGUCUCUUGGAGGUAGAGCACUGUUUGAUUGAGGGGUCCAUCCCGGAUUACCAAUAUCAGAUAAACUCCGAAUGCCAAUGAGAUAUAAUCGGCAGUCAGACUGCGAGUGCUAAGAUCCGUAGUCGAAAGGGAAACAGCCCAGACCACCAGCUAAGGUCCCAAAAUAUAUGUUAAGUGGAAAAGGAUGUGGGGUUGCACAGACAACUAGGAUGUUAGCUUAGAAGCAGCUAUUCAUUCAAAGAGUGCGUAAUAGCUCACUAGUCGAGUGACCCUGCGCCGAAAAUGUACCGGGGCUAAAACAUAUUACCGAAGCUGUGGAUACCUUUAUAGGUAUGGUAGGAGAGCGUUCUAUGUGUGAAGAAGGUGUACCGUGAGGAGCGCUGGAACGCAUAGAAGUGAGAAUGCCGGUAUGAGUAGCGAAAGACAGGUGAGAAUCCUGUCCACCGUAUGACUAAGGUUUCCAGGGGAAGGCUCGUCCUCCCUGGGUUAGUCGGGACCUAAGGAGAGACCGAAAGGUGUAUCCGAUGGACAACAGGUUGAUAUUCCUGUACUAGAGUAUAUAGUGAUGGAGGGACGCAGUAGGCUAACUAAAGCGUGCGAUUGGAAGUGCACGUCUAAGCAGUGAGGUGUGAUAUGAGUCAAAUGCUUAUAUCUUUAACAUUGAGCUGUGAUGGGGAGCGAAGUUAAGUAGCGAAGUUAGUGAUGUCACACUGCCAAGAAAAGCUUCUAGCGUUAAUUAUACUCUACCCGUACCGCAAACCGACACAGGUAGUCGAGGCGAGUAGCCUCAGGUGAGCGAGAGAACUCUCGUUAAGGAACUCGGCAAAAUGGCCCCGUAACUUCGGGAGAAGGGGCGCUGGCUUUAAGUCAGCCGCAGUGAAUAGGCCCAAGCAACUGUUUAUCAAAAACACAGCUCUCUGCUAAAUCGUAAGAUGAUGUAUAGGGGGUGACGCCUGCCCGGUGCUGGAAGGUUAAGAGGAGCGCUUAGCAUUAGCGAAGGUGUGAAUUGAAGCCCCAGUAAACGGCGGCCGUAACUAUAACGGUCCUAAGGUAGCGAAAUUCCUUGUCGGGUAAGUUCCGACCCGCACGAAAGGCGUAAUGAUUUGGGCACUGUCUCAACGAGAGACUCGGUGAAAUUUUAGUACCUGUGAAGAUGCAGGUUACCCGCGACAGGACGGAAAGACCCCAUGGAGCUUUACUGCAGUUUGAUAUUGAGUAUCUGUACCACAUGUACAGGAUAGGUAGGAGCCUAUGAAAUCGGGACGCUAGUUUCGGUGGAGGCGUUGUU